Oncorhynchus nerka (sockeye salmon) is the source of this 1272-nucleotide long non-coding RNA. RefSeq lists it as uncharacterized. Lineage: Eukaryota; Metazoa; Chordata; Actinopteri; Salmoniformes; Salmonidae. The transcript has 5 exons. The record is from RefSeq and is a predicted model, not a curated record.
AAAACCUCUGAGUUUGAGCACCUCGUUUGGUAGAUUUUGUAAUGUUAUUGAUCUUCAACCAGAUAUGAAGGAGAGGAGAAAACAUGAAGGGGAAAGAGGAAGGUGGAAGUCUCCGGGAUUGAACCCUUACCACUAGGAUUACAUCCUGAAUCCAGGAUGCAAUGCUACCACUAGACCAAACUCAAACUAGUCAUGGAACAGAUAAAGUUAUUUUACAGUUCAACCUCCCCAGAGGUCCACAUGAAGAAAAAGCAAGAAUGAACACUCAAAUGAUCAACUUGACCAGGCAGUCCCAGAACCCCUCUCUGGAGAGACCAACCCUCCUCCCAGCAUCACCCCUCUUCCUUUACCUGAACACAGUGACGACGUCAAGUCUGUGGGACCUGCACCUUCUCAACCCUCUACCUUGGGUCUGAAUGGUGACAGAAACAUGCCGGUGGUCCGGGGACUGGGCUCAGCUGACCCAGAAGAGGUGAAGAGGCUGAAGGACACCAGCUUCUUCAUCUGUAAUCGAUAGCUGCUUCUAUGAUUAGGGUAUACAACAAAUUGCAUUUAAAAAAACAAAUAUUGUAAGUUAUUUAUUUAUUAAAUUUUAAUUGACAACAAAUCAGUACAGAAAGUACAUGGGGGAACACAAGUAUACAUAAAUAAUAUACAAAGGACAAUUGGGAUAGGGGCGGGGCUAGGGGGUACAAUAUCACAUUACACAAGGACCUUAAGGGACAUACAGUGGGGAGAACAAGUAUUUGAUACACUGCCGAUUUUGCUGAAAGUCCGUAUUACCCAGCGACAGCCCCGAAACCUGAAGGAUCUGGAGAAGGUCUGUAUGGAGGAGUGGGCCAAAAUGCCUGCUGCAGUGUGUGCAAACCUGGUCAAGAACUACAGGAAACGUAUGAUCUCUGUAAUUGCAAACAAAAGUUUCUGUACCAAAUAUUAAGUUCUGCUUUUCUGAUGUAUCAAAUACUUAUGUCAUGCAUUAAAAUGCAAAUUAAUUACUUAAAAAUCAUACAAUGUGAAUUUCUGGAUUUUUGUUUUAGAUUCUGUCUCUCACAGUUGAAGUGUACCUAUGAUUAAAAAAUUACAGACCUCUACAUGCUUUGUAAGUAGGAAAACCUGCAAAAUCGGCAAUGUAUCAAAUACUUGUUCUCCCCACUGUACAUACACUUAUUAUUCUAACAGCUUUUUUGUUAGUAGAGUAUUUAAUUGUCUCAAAAUUGUAAGGUAAGAAAAUGUGGUGUUUUGUUUGUAAAUUUACAUUUGUGUAUAUGAAAU